AAGAGCACGAAAUUAUAACGUUGGCAAUACUGGAAGCACGUGUGCUCGUGAAUAUGAUUGCAAUCGCCAGCUGUCAUACGCUAUCCUAUUUAACAUCUCCGUUUCAUUUCUGAACUGAUUUAUAAGCUCAAUCACCUAUGAAUAUUGCAAGCAUACGUUGUAUUCAACCUGUAAGUCCAGAAGGUGAUUAAUAAAAUGGAAAAAACUAGCAAGAAGGAGCUCUGGGAAAUCGUAGACAAGCAGAGGCAAAAGCUAACCAAGUAUGAAAACCGUUUGAGAGAUAUCGUGCCGGCGUACGAAAGUCUAAUAAAGGAAAAAGAAGCCCUAGAAGAAAGCCUCAAAGCUUUUAUCCUUAAAACUAAGGCUGACGUUGAUAAAAAUGAUAAACCGUCGGAUUUGAAAACUGGCACUGAACCGGUGCCCAAUUCUAAAAAAGAAGCAAGCCAACCAGAGACGGUGGAGCAGUUAAAAACUCAGCUUAGUGCCCUGAUGAAUUCACUAGCAACUCUUUCGGCAGAAAAAUCAAAAAUGGAGGCGAAUUUUCAGUCUGAUAAAAAACAGCUGCGUACGGAAAGAGAAGAAUAUGAAAAAGUUAUCAGAGAGUUGAGAGAAAAAUUAAAACAGGCACAAAAAGAGACACGCUCCGAGGUUGAACAUGUUAAGUAUAAACUGAUCAUGGAACGGCAUGAACGGGAAAAGGAGCAAGCUGAUCAUUCCGCAAUGAUUAAGUACAUAUACCUCACUUGUAUGAAGAUUGCUUUCGACCAUUGUUGGGAACUGCAAAGACUGCUCAACGACGAAAGAUGCGCCAAAGAACAGUUGGAAAACCAAGUUAGAGAUCUAAAGAUCAAUGUCGCGAGUAAAGAGCAAAGUAAGUUGCUAGAGGCGGAGUUAGAAAUUGCUAGGAAUAAAUUGAAACAAGCAGAGGCAGCUGCAAAAGAAACUCCUCCACUGCUGCUUUCUUUACAAUCUGAAAUGGCGAGUUUAAAACAACAACAUCGCAAUGCAAUUCAAGAGGAACAAAAAAGAGCCUCUGCCGCAGAACAACAGGCAAGAAUUCUAGCAAUGACGCAUGAAUCCAGAGUCGCAGGGUUGGAGGCUCGAUUAGCAGAAUUAUCGGAAACAGUCGGAGGAUACGAUAGACUGAGGCAUCAGGAUCAGCAAGCUAUUCAAAAGCUAAAGGACCAAUUGGCCAACUUGCAGGGGGCUGGAUGUAAAGAUAAAGAAACAGGAAGGUUUGAAAAUGAUCCAGAAGAAAUUGCAGCUAAAAUAAAGAAGCUCUAUGCUCGUAUGUCGGACCUGGCUAAUCAGGACAAGUCGUCUGAUAUCAAAAAUCUUUUAGGUAAAUUAAAUCUACGCGAUGUUAACGAGGAUCUAGAGUACAAAGAAAAGUAUGAAAAGCUAGAGCAAGAGUUCGAAGAUUUUAAAUUGAAAACAUCGGCCCAGCUUCGUCAUGCGAUACCUGAUUCCUCACUGAAUAAAGAACGGGACAAAAUUACUGCUUCUGAAUCAAAUGAAAGCGGCAAUUACAAACUGCAGUUGAAUGCUGCUAAAUUGCAGGUUAAAAAUUUGGAAGAAAGAUUGCGCAGGUCGCAUGCAGAUAUAAUUAACAAAGAAAAAGAAUGCAAAUCUCAAUUAGAAAAUCAGCAACAGCUACUCAGAGAAGAACGAUUGAAAAGUGAACGAUCGCUAUCUCUGAAAGAGAAUGAAUUCCGAGGGAAGAUUUCAACUUUGGAACAUCAGCUUCAACGUCAAAGGGAACGAACAUUAGUAUUAAUUCAGGAAAAGGACCAAGAAAUUCAAACCUUAAAGUCAUCAUUUCACGCGUUACUGCCAAAGAAAGCUUCUUCUGGAGAUCAGGAAGACCGCUCCAAAUCUCCAACUCCGGACAAUAUUUCCGAGCCAGCAGUUGAUCUCGUUACAGGCUUGCUGACAGCCGACAGUCCACCUAUGCUCCAUUACGCUCAAGAAUUGGCGCGGCGAGAAGUCCAGGUUUCAGGAUUACGAAAAAGCAAUAUGAAAAUGGAAGCAGAUAUUAGAGAGAAACACAGAGAAUAUAUAAAAGCUACUGAAAGACACAGGGAGGAAUUGAAGAGACUAGAAAAUGAAGUUACAAGAUUGAAAGCCUACAAAUCCAGAGAAGGUGCAAAUCUCGAGUACUUGAAGAAUGUCGUACUGAAUUACCUCCUGACUAAUAAUGCAUCCAGUAAGCGGCAUAUGUUGAAUGCUAUUUCUACAAUUCUUCACUUCACUCCGGAAGAGGUGGAGAAAAUUCGUCACCUCAAACAACAUUGAUGAAUAUAUCGAUUAAAUGGUGCUACAUUCGUCAUUAUAUUCGUUUCUUGGAAGUAAUCGGAGCAAAAUCAUCAGGGUGUCACGUUUCGAGCAGGAUUAUUUCUCUCUGCGACUACCUUGGCCUGGACAAUCUGACUGGGGUAAAAGGAAAGGCUAGUGGAGAAAGACUGCAGCUCAUGCAGGAUUGUGCAAAUUGUUACCAAUUCUCUUUAUCGAACAACAUGAAAUAAUAAACAUCUCUCGCUUCGAUCACAUUCUCGAUAAUAUAAUAUAACACGUACCUCUAUUUGUAUAUAAUUUACGUUCUCUAAUGCGAUUUAUAAUAGCAUCAAAAUGAUACAACAUUACGGAAGUUUACGCGGUCGAUUUUUAUCUUAACAAAGAUAUUCAUAUUUAUACUAAAAGAUUAAUAAUAUGUUGUAACUAACAGCGGACUGGGUUUUGUUAUAUAUGUACCAUAUAUACAAGUAAGCUACAUUCACCUGACAAAUCAAGCUCGAAGUAGAAGCUUGAAAAUUACUUGAAAAUCAACAGUUAUAAUCAACCUCUUCCCAAAAUGGGAAUACAAAAUUUAGAUUUUCAAUCGUAAGUACAAUACAAAAAUUCGUCGAAAUAUACGUGAACACGUUAAAAAUGUACCCACCGAACGAUCGAUACUAAAUAUUAACAUUUAACUGAUUUCGUAAAAAUGUACUUACGAAUAAAAAGUAGAAAAUUUAUUUUCAACACUUCGAAGGCAUAUUGUGUCUCUACAAUAUCGUUCAGUUAUUAAUGUAAGCUCAAUAUGUCGGCGAUUGUCAACACAGAUUUCAACAUCUUAUUUAUUCUGUCACACGCAAUUUCCUAUUUUAGACAUUAAAUAAUUCGAUUCACGCUUCUCUUUUAACGCGACAUUCACCCGAAUAUCAAUUAUCCAAUUUCUCUAGCAAAUAUUCAAUUUAAUUUAUGUAUUUUUCCCUGUCACUUAAUUUUAUUUUCAAAUAAUUGUUACGUCUUGGUAUCGUAAUUAACAUUAUUAUUAUUACUAUUACCAUUAUUAUUAUUAUUAUUAUUAUUAUAUAUCUCAAUUAUUAUUACAGUCAUAUAACAGUAUGAUUUAUACAUCGUAUUAUAUACACAUUAAAGUAUGUAAUACCCUUAAAAAUUUAUGCUUUUCAAAAAAAAUAAUACAUCCAAUGUUUUUCCUCAAAAAAUUGAAACAGAAAUUUACUUCCUAAUUAUCGUUUCAGAGUAUCUUGAUUAAAAUUAACAAAACUUCAUACACCGUAUGGCUGUUCCCAAAAGCAAUUGAAUCACUGAGUAUUCAAUUAGUUGUCGACAAUAAAUUGUUACGUAUAGCAAUUUGAAGAAAAUAUCAUUUAGUUUCAUUUAUUCUCAAUGAGGAAGUUCCUUUUCCCACAACAGAAAUGCAUUUCAAUUAUUACGAUGUUUGGUCUAUAAGGCAUGACUGUGAAUUUCUAAGCAUCGAAAAGUUUUUACCGUUAAACCACUUAAAUUUCUAAUGUUGAUGUAAGCAUCCAUAUAGCCACGCGGUAAUAUGAUUGUAUUAAUAAUCGUUACCUCGUACUGCGGCUGUCGUCAAAAUGUUCACACAAUAUUCAAUAUUUGUUCAUUUCAUUUUUUGGUAAUCUUAUAAAUUGUCAGAAAGGAUCGUUCUCGCUACUUUGGGGAAUCCAUGCACCAGAUCUCGACUUUAGCUACAAGGAAAGCGAAUCGAAUUGUAAUACAUUAUAGACAUUAACUGAAGUUUCAACCAGCUAAUUGAUAUUCGUGUGAUCAUUGCACCUGUCUUUAAUUUAUCUUAACCAAAAAUACCCUUAAAUACUGUUUUCUGUUAUCUGUUAAUACAACGAUGUGCGCGACGGAGAAUUAAAUGACUUUUAGCAAACUUUCAAGUAUUAUGAAACACAUACUUUAUAGAACAUUGGAAACUGUACUAAAAAAGCAUAACCUAUUUGCAAAUAUGCAAUACAGUGUUCCUGAUUCAUCUAACUAAAUUUAAUUAAUUAAAAUGUUAUAACGAACAAAUUUUAUAAUACAUCGUCAAAAUGUGCACUUCGAAAUUAUUGUACAGUCACUUUAUAAAUUUGGUCUAGCGUGUACUAAUCGGCUGGUGAAGUCUCAGGUAGGCUUUAAAGUCUACCAAGCACCACCGAUGCUUGUUUCAUUACCUUAAAGCAUAGCGUGUGUCGCAAUCAUUUACGGCUACUUAUCUGCACACGCAUACUUUGGGUGUAAUUGAAAAUUGUAAAUGAACCAAACAUGUCCACCGCUGUCGAUAAAGAGUUUCAAGCUUCUGCCAGAUAGUGGCUAUUAUAAAAUGUCAAAUAUAUGUUUAUCAUACUCGUCAUUUCGUACAUGUAUAUAUGAGUGCAUACUUUGUACACAAAUUAUACACGCAUACAUACAGAGAGGGUCGUUUGAAGCAGACCUUUGAUAUUCACGUUCAAAGUUUCGUUCCAGUUAUCUCAAGGUACACGGAAUCACCUCAAGUAGUUUGAAAGAUCAGUUUCAAAAUAUCCUCAUCGUCUUCGUUAUGUAUGUGUCACAUUUGUAUAUAAUCACAACGUUGAGUAGUAAAGAUUUACAUCAUACAUCAAGGGUAU
RNAcentral lists this unclassified non-coding RNA (4901 nucleotides) under Neodiprion pinetum (white pine sawfly). Its description in RNAcentral is "gRIP and coiled-coil domain-containing protein 1, transcript variant X4". The record is from RNAcentral. Lineage: Eukaryota; Metazoa; Arthropoda; Insecta; Hymenoptera; Diprionidae.